UACGUAGGUGGCAAGCGUUGUCCGGAAUUACUGGGUGUAAAGGGUGCGCAGGCGGGAUUGCAAGUUGGAUGUAAAAUACCGGGGCUUAACCCCGGAGCUGCAUCCAAAACUGUAGUUCUUGAGUGGAGUAGAGGUAAGCGGAAUUCCGAGUGUAGCGGUGAAAUGCGUAGAUAUUCGGAGGAACACCAGUGGCGAAGGCGGCUUACUGGGCUCUAGCUGACGCUGAGGCACGAAAGCAUGGGUAGCAAACAGGAUUAGAUACCCUGGUAGUCCAUGCUGUAAACGAUGAAUGCUAGGUGUGGGGGGACUGACCCCUUCCGUGCCGGAGUAAACACAAUAAGCAUUCCACCUGGGGAGUACGACCGCAAGGUUGAA
This 375-nucleotide ribosomal RNA is filed under the name uncultured bacterium. Its description in RNAcentral is "bacterial SSU rRNA". It matches the Rfam family "Bacterial small subunit ribosomal RNA", at positions 524 to 898 of the family's 1533-position model. The record is from RNAcentral.